GACGAACGCUGGCGGCGUGCCUAAUACAUGCAAGUCGAACGAACUCUGGUAUUGAUUGGUGCUUGCAUCAUGAUUUACAUUUGAGUGAGUGGCGAACUGGUGAGUAACACGUGGGAAACCUGCCCAGAAGCGGGGGAUAACACCUGGAAACAGAUGCUAAUACCGCAUAACAACUUGGACCGCAUGGUCCGAGCUUGAAAGAUGGCUUCGGCUAUCACUUUUGGAUGGUCCCGCGGCGUAUUAGCUAGAUGGUGGGGUAACGGCUCACCAUGGCAAUGAUACGUAGCCGACCUGAGAGGGUAAUCGGCCACAUUGGGACUGAGACACGGCCCAAACUCCUACGGGAGGCAGCAGUAGGGAAUCUUCCACAAUGGACGAAAGUCUGAUGGAGCAACGCCGCGUGAGUGAAGAAGGGUUUCGGCUCGUAAAACUCUGUUGUUAAAGAAGAACAUAUCUGAGAGUAACUGUUCAGGUAUUGACGGUAUUUAACCAGAAAGCCACGGCUAACUACGUGCCAGCAGCCGCGGUAAUACGUAGGUGGCAAGCGUUGUCCGGAUUUAUUGGGCGUAAAGCGAGCGCAGGCGGUUUUUUAAGUCUGAUGUGAAAGCCUUCGGCUCAACCGAAGAAGUGCAUCGGAAACUGGGAAACUUGAGUGCAGAAGAGGACAGUGGAACUCCAUGUGUAGCGGUGAAAUGCGUAGAUAUAUGGAAGAACACCAGUGGCGAAGGCGGCUGUCUGGUCUGUAACUGACGCUGAGGCUCGAAAGUAUGGGUAGCAAACAGGAUUAGAUACCCUGGUAGUCCAUACCGUAAACGAUGAAUGCUAAGUGUUGGAGGGUUUCCGCCCUUCAGUGCUGCAGCUAACGCAUUAAGCAUUCCGCCUGGGGAGUACGGCCGCAAGGCUGAAACUCAAAGGAAUUGGCGGGGGCCCGCACAAGCGGUGGAGCAUGUGGUUUAAUUCGAAGCUACGCGAAGAACCUUACCAGGUCUUGACAUACUAUGCAAAUCUAAGAGAUUAGACGUUCCCUUCGGGGACAUGGAUACAGGUGGUGCAUGGUUGUCGUCAGCUCGUGUCGUGAGAUGUUGGGUUAAGUCCCGCAACGAGCGCAACCCUUAUUAUCAGUUGCCAGCAUUAAGUUGGGCACUCUGGUGAGACUGCCGGUGACAAACCGGAGGAAGGUGGGGAUGACGUCAAAUCAUCAUGCCCCUUAUGACCUGGGCUACACACGUGCUACAAUGGAUGGUACAACGAGUUGCGAACUCGCGAGAGUAAGCUAAUCUCUUAAAGCCAUUCUCAGUUCGGAUUGUAGGCUGCAACUCGCCUACAUGAAGUCGGAAUCGCUAGUAAUCGCGGAUCAGCAUGCCGCGGUGAAUACGUUCCCGGGCCUUGUACACACCGCCCGUCACACCAUGAGAGUUUGUAACACCCAAAGUCGGUGGGGUAACCUUUUAGGAACCAGCCGCCUAAGGUGGGACAGAUGAUUAGGGUG
RNAcentral lists this ribosomal RNA (1489 nucleotides) under Lactiplantibacillus plantarum. Its description in RNAcentral is "bacterial SSU rRNA". It matches the Rfam family "Bacterial small subunit ribosomal RNA". The record is from RNAcentral. Lineage: Bacteria; Bacillati; Bacillota; Bacilli; Lactobacillales; Lactobacillaceae.